Molecule: microRNA precursor, 79 nt
Filed under: Felis catus (domestic cat)
Lineage: Eukaryota; Metazoa; Chordata; Mammalia; Carnivora; Felidae
Also listed under: 3 other names
Description: mir-192/215 microRNA precursor family
Rfam family: mir-192/215 microRNA precursor family
About the family: This family represents the human microRNA (miRNA) precursors mir-192 and mir-215.
Source: Rfam by way of RNAcentral
ACAGGGCUCUGACCUAUGAAUUGACAGCCAGUGUUCCCAUCUCCCCUCUGGCUGCCAAUUCCAUAGGUCACAGGUAUGU